Molecule: long non-coding RNA, 2100 nt
Organism: Gopherus evgoodei (Goodes thornscrub tortoise)
Lineage: Eukaryota; Metazoa; Chordata; Testudines; Testudinidae
Exons: 5
Source: RefSeq, a predicted model, not a curated record
ACAGCAAAAUAUAUAUCUAGGGUAUAAGAUCCCAGCUGCAGUCUAUGGAGCUCUUUGUGUAGUCGCUAGAGAGCUGGCUGAUCACAUAAUGCUGGUUCCUCCUCAUUACUGUCUAUUAAAUUUCAGUAAUACAGCUAAGAAUGGAAUUCUUUCCAGGUAUCAUUUUUCCAUGUAAGCAACUGCUAAAGGGAUGUGAUGUGAUUGUGAUGGGAGGAGGAGGAGUUGGUCAAUUCUAUUGGGAAUGGGAGAGGGGUUGUAGUCUAUGAGACAAUCUCUCUUUUCAUAUGUGGACCACACGAUGAAAAUGUUUGAGAACCGCUUGAUCCAACAGUCUAUUUACAACAUCAAUAUCAAAUAGAAACCAUCAUCUAGUUUCCAUUUUAAGGAGUGAGGAUUCAUUAACAGAAAAGUUGCAAGGACAUGCAAAUAGAGUCACUCGGAAGAGAAUUUAUGGUUCAGCUUUAUGAGGGCACAAAGAUGUGAAAUUUGUUAAAUUAUCCGAGCAGUCAAGAAACCAGGAAUACUUCAUUAGGAAUAUUUUCCCAGCUACUGGUUAGAGUGCCUGCUUAUUUGAGCAAGGACACAGCAGCAUAAGUAAAGCACCACAGCUUCUUGUAAAAUGAAAAGUCAAUGUGAUGCUUCAAGCUGGAUCAAGUACUUUGGCACAGGAACCAAACUAGUUGUUUCUGCAGCUGAAGAUCUGGCCCAUGAGUUUUUGCAAAGCUCAUGAACACAGUGAGAAAAAUUAUAUCAAAGUCUUCGACUCCGGCACAAAGGUCAUUGUUUCAAACAUGCAAGCAAAACUUGAUUCCACCAAGAUUCAGGUCCUGACUCCUUCUACUGAACAAGAUGGGAAAGUAUCAGACAUGUGCCUUAUUCAGGAUUUUUACCCAAACGUUAUUAAGGUGACUUGGGAAGACGACGAGAAGAAUACAGAAAAAAAUGCAGUCCAUAAAGAAAUUUGACUCUCGAUAACAAUGAGCAGCUAGCUGACCGUAGCAACAAGAAAUAGCAACAACAAAUAGCAACAAGAAUUAUCACUUCAAAUAUCAACAUGAAAGCAAAGAAGGUUUUGUCCCCACCAAAUCUCCAGACAAACCGUAGUGUCUCAAACCACAGGAGAUUUUAGCCAAAGACCUGAAAACAACACCACGCUUUCCACAGAUAUUACAGACAGUUUCAUACACAGGACAACAUAUUUAAUAUACUUUGUCCUACUCCUGAAAAGCACCAUGUACUACAUCAUCGUACUCUUCUUCAUAUACAGGAUGCAAAGUCCAAUCAAGCACCGGGGAAAAAAACCUUAAACUUCUCCUUAACCUUCCAACGUCAGCAUUUGUCUCUCAAAUUUACUUUGCUUUGCCAUAAGCCUGAGCAUAUGAAACGCCUUGCUCUAAAUAUUAAGACAUUCAUUUCAAAUUUGAUUGUGUUGACUAUUUCUCUAAUUAGCACAGAUGGCUUCUGCUUGAGAGCAAACAGUUUUCUAUGUGACCAUUUUUCCUAUUUUAUUAUUUUAAUUUUGUAACUGUGGAACUUCAAGGGCUGAGGCUACACUCCUUGAUUUCAAUAGGAAUUUUGCAUCACAAAGCAGUGCAGGAUAAUUCACUUAAUCCAGUGGUCUCCAAUCUUUUCGUCUGCCGCCCAUCAAACGAAGGACCGUGGCGGCGGUCGAGCAUCCACCGAAAUGCCACCGAACACCUCUGGAUGACUUCGCUUGUAGAUGGCAAGCAGUGUCAUCCAGAGGCAUUGCCGCCAAAAUGCCGCUGAAUUUCAGCAGCAUUUUGGCGGAUGCUUGACCGCCGGCUAAGACGUAGGCACCCGCGGGCACCGCGUUGGGGACCCCUGACUUAGUCUCUUAACCUGCAAAAACAUCUGUGCACACAAAGAACUUUUUCGAUGUGGAUAGGUCAACUGCAUUCAGUGAAGUCCCAUAAAUAUUUGCAGGAGUGGAGUCCUAAUCUGUAACUUAAAAUAAUUUGUCAUUUCAUUUCUACUAAAUACAUGUAUUUGCUUUAUAAAACAAAAACAGGCUUCUGAAAUAUGACUAAUUUCUUUAAUUCACAGAUUAAUGGAUUUUAAAUAAAAUUCAGCAUUGCAGAA